Molecule: ribosomal RNA, 460 nt
Filed under: uncultured bacterium
Lineage: Bacteria
Description: partial 16S ribosomal RNA
Rfam family: Bacterial small subunit ribosomal RNA
Source: RNAcentral
CCUACGUGAGGCAGCAGUGAGGAAUAUUGGUCAAUGGGCGCGAGCCUGAACCAGCCAAGUAGCGUGAAGGAUGACUGCCCUACGGGUUGUAAACUUCUUUUAUAAAGGAAUAAAGUGAGGCACGUGUGCCUUUUUGUAUGUACUUUAUGAAUAAGGAUCGGCUAACUCCGUGCCAGCAGCCGCGGUAAUACGGAGGAUCCGAGCGUUAUCCGGAUUUAUUGGGUUUAAAGGGAGCGUAGAUGGGUUGUUAAGUCAGUUGUGAAAGUUUGCGGCUCAACCGUAAAAUUUCAAUUGAUACUGGCAGUCUUGAGUACAGUUGAGGUAGGCGGAAUUCGUGGUGUAGCGGUGAAAUGCUUAGAUAUCACGAAGAACUCCGAUUGCGAAGGCAGCUUACUAAACUGCCACUGACAUUGAUGCUCGAAAGUGUGGGUAUCAAACAGGAUUAGAUACCCCAGUAGUC